UACGUAGGGGGCAAGCGUUGUCCGGAAUCAUUGGGCGUAAAGAGCGUGUAGGCGGCCCGAUAAGUCCGCUGUGAAAGUCCAGGGCUCAACCCUGGAAUGCCGGUGGAUACUGUCGGGCUAGAGUGCGGAAGAGGCGAGUGGAAUUCCUGGUGUAGCGGUGAAAUGCGCAGAUAUCAGGAGGAACACCAAUUGCGAAGGCAGCUCGCUGGGACGUAACUGACGCUGAGACGCGAAAGCGUGGGGAGCAAACAGG
RNAcentral lists this ribosomal RNA (253 nucleotides) under uncultured bacterium. Its description in RNAcentral is "partial 16S ribosomal RNA". It matches the Rfam family "Bacterial small subunit ribosomal RNA", at positions 524 to 776 of the family's 1533-position model. The record is from RNAcentral.